RNAcentral lists this ribosomal RNA (253 nucleotides) under uncultured bacterium. RNAcentral describes it as "partial 16S ribosomal RNA". It matches the Rfam family "Bacterial small subunit ribosomal RNA", at positions 524 to 776 of the family's 1533-position model. The record is from RNAcentral.
GACGAACCGUGCGAACGUUGUUCGGAAUCACUGGGCUUAAAGGGCGCGUAGGCGGGGGAGCAAGUCCGGGGUGAAAUCGUUCGGCUCAACCGAACCACUGCCUCGGAUACUGCUCCCCUCGAGGGGGGUAGGGGCAGCUGGAACUUCCGGUGGAGCGGUGAAAUGCGUUGAUAUCGGAAGGAACGCCGGUGGCGAAAGCGAGCUGCUGGACCUCUUCUGACGCUGAGGCGCGAAAGCCAGGGGAGCAAACGGG